GACGAACGCUGGCGGCGUGCUUAACACAUGCAAGUCGAACGGAAAGGCCCUGCUUGCGGGGUACUCGAGUGGCGAACGGGUGAGUAACACGUGGGUGAUCUGCCCUGCACUUCGGGAUAAGCCUGGGAAACUGGGUCUAAUACCGGAUAGGAGCCAUCUUUAGUGUGAUGGUUGGAAAGUUUUUUCGGUGUAGGAUGAGCUCGCGGCCUAUCAGCUUGUUGGUGGGGUAAUGGCCUACCUAGGCGGCGACGGGUAGCCGGCCUGAGGGGGUGGACGGCCACAUUGGGACUGAGAUACGGCCCAGACUCCUACGGGAGGCAGCAGUGGGGAAUAUUGCACAAUGGGCGCAAGCCUGAUGCAGCGACGCCGCGUGGGGGAUGACGGCCUUCGGGUUGUAAACUCCUUUCGCUAGGGACGAAGCUUUUUGUGACGGUACCUAGAUAAGAAGCACCGGCUAACUACGUG
Molecule: ribosomal RNA, 465 nt
Filed under: uncultured bacterium
Lineage: Bacteria
Description: partial 16S ribosomal RNA
Rfam family: Bacterial small subunit ribosomal RNA
Source: RNAcentral